This 70-nucleotide transfer RNA is filed under the name Dipodomys ordii (Ord's kangaroo rat). It matches the Rfam family "tRNA". From Rfam's summary of the family: Transfer RNA (tRNA) molecules are approximately 80 nucleotides in length. Their secondary structure includes four short double-helical elements and three loops (D, anti-codon, and T loops). The record is from Rfam by way of RNAcentral. Lineage: Eukaryota; Metazoa; Chordata; Mammalia; Rodentia; Heteromyidae.
GGGGAUAUGGCUUAGUGGUAGAGUGCUUGCCUAGCACGCAUGAGGCCCUGGGUUUGAUUCCUCAGUACCA